ACCCGCUGCAUUUAAGCAUAUCAAUAAGCGGAGGAAAAGAAACCAACAGGGAUUGCCUUAGUAACGGCGGGUGAAGCGGCAAAAGCUCAAAUUUGAAAUCUGGCACCUUCGGUGUCCGAGUUGUAAUUUGAAGAAGGUAACUUUGGAGUUGGCUCUUGUCUAUGUUCCUUGGAACAGGACGUCACAGAGGGUGAGAAUCCCGUGCGAUGAGAUGCCCAAUUCUAUGUAAAGUGCUUUCGAAGAGUCGAGUUGUUUGGGAAUGCAGCUCUAAGUGGGUGGUAAAUUCCAUCUAAAGCUAAAUAUUGGCGAGAGACCGAUAGCGAACAAGUACAGUGAUGGAAAGAUGAAAAGAACUUUGAAAAGAGAGUGAAAAAGUACGUGAAAUUGUUGAAAGGGAAGGGCUUGAGAUCAGACUUGGUAUUUUGCGAUCCUUUCCUUCUUGGUUGGGUUCCUCGCAGCUUACUGGGCCAGCAUCGGUUUGGAUGGUAGGAUAAUGACUAAGGAAUGUGGCUCUACUUCGGUGGAGUGUUAUAGCCUUGGUUGAUACUGCCUGUCUAGACCGAGGACUGCGUCUUUUGACUAGGAUGUUGGCAUAAUGAUCUUAAGCCACCCGUCUUGAAACACGGACCAAGGAG
Molecule: ribosomal RNA, 635 nt
Filed under: uncultured yeast
Lineage: Eukaryota; Fungi
Description: eukaryotic LSU rRNA
Rfam family: Eukaryotic large subunit ribosomal RNA
Source: RNAcentral